Molecule: ribosomal RNA, 457 nt
Filed under: uncultured bacterium
Lineage: Bacteria
Description: partial 16S ribosomal RNA
Rfam family: Bacterial small subunit ribosomal RNA
Source: RNAcentral
CUACGGGUGGCUGCAGUAGGGAAUUUUCGGCAAUGGAGGAAACUCUGACCGAGCAACGCCGCGUGAAUGAAGACAUAUUUCGGUAUGUAAAGUUCUUUUAUUAGGGAAGAAUAGCCCAUGGAAAAAUGGGUGUGACGGUACCUAAUGAAUAAGCCCCGGCUAACUAUGUGCCAGCAGCCGCGGUAAUACAUAGGGGGCAAGCGUUAUCCGGAAUUAUUGGGCGUAAAGGGUGCGUAGGCGGCCAUUUAAGUCUUUGGUAUAAGUGCAGUGCUUAACGCUGUGAUGCUAAGGAAACUGAAUGGCUUGAGUGAGAUAGAGGCAAGUGGAAUUCCAUGUGUAGCGGUAAAAUGCGUAAAUAUAUGGAGGAACACCAGUGGCGAAGGCGGCUUGCUGGGUCUACACUGACGCUGAGGCACGAAAGCGUGGGGAGCAAACAGGAUUAGAUACCCCCGUAGUC